This 71-nucleotide transfer RNA is filed under the name Planctomycetales bacterium. RNAcentral describes it as "tRNA-Arg". It matches the Rfam family "tRNA". Rfam says of the family: Transfer RNA (tRNA) molecules are approximately 80 nucleotides in length. Their secondary structure includes four short double-helical elements and three loops (D, anti-codon, and T loops). Lineage: Bacteria; Pseudomonadati; Planctomycetota; Planctomycetia; Planctomycetales. The record is from RNAcentral.
GUAGCUCAAUUGGAUAGAGCACCGGCCUACGAAGCCGGGGGUUGGAGGUUCGAAUCCUCCCGGGUGUACCA